RNAcentral lists this long non-coding RNA (400 nucleotides) under Coturnix japonica (Japanese quail). Its description in RNAcentral is "lncRNA (ENSCJPG00005012626.1)". Lineage: Eukaryota; Metazoa; Chordata; Aves; Galliformes; Phasianidae. The record is from RNAcentral.
UUGGGUCCAGUGCGAGGAUGAUCAGCUGAGCAGCAGAGCAAUGAGGACUCAGGACUAAUAUCAGAGUGGUAGAGAUGAUACAUCUGGAACAAGUUUUAUGGAAAAGGUCUCUCCACUUGGAUCUGCUUCUAAAGAACAUUAUUGGAGUACUGGUGCAGGAGGAGACAGGCCCUUCACCCUUCACAAUGGAAAGGUUCUUCACUUCUGCCAUUCGCGCACUCCCUGAAGUGAGAUGGGAUGCUUCCAGCUACUCUCCCGGUAGCUAUCUGCUUGAUAAUAGAAAGCUCCUAUGGGCUCAUGUCAGGGAGACACAGAAAGAAUGAGAUUCUCUUGCCUUUUUUUCUACAGGAUUUCCUGUGAAACAAUGUGCUCCUUUGUUUGGCUGAUGAACCAAGAGGGC